Molecule: ribosomal RNA, 552 nt
Filed under: uncultured fungus
Lineage: Eukaryota; Fungi
Description: eukaryotic LSU rRNA
Rfam family: 5.8S ribosomal RNA (bases 186-339)
Source: RNAcentral
AAGUCGUAACAAGGUCUCCGUUGGUGAACCAGCGGAGGGAUCAUUACUGAGUACUACACUCUCUACCCUUUGUGAACUAUUAUACCUGUUGCUUCGGCGGCGCCCGCAAGGGUGCCCGCCGGUCUCAUCAGAAUCUCUGUUUUCGAACCCGACGAUACUUCUGAGUGUUCUUAGCGAACUGUCAAAACUUUUAACAACGGAUCUCUUGGCUCCAGCAUCGAUGAAGAACGCAGCGAAACGCGAUAUGUAAUGUGAAUUGCAGAAUUCAGUGAAUCAUCGAAUCUUUGAACGCACAUGGCGCCUUCCAGUAUCCUGGGAGGCAUGCCUGUCCGAGCGUCGUUUCAACCCCUCGAGCCCCUGUGGCCCGGCGUUGGGGAUCUGCCACGGCAGGCCCCUAAAACCAGUGGCGGACCCGAAGGGCCCUCUCCUUUGCGCAGUAGCAUUCGCCUCGCAUCGGGAGUCCUCGGCGUCCUGCCUCUAAACCCCCCACAAGCCCGCUUCGGCGGCACCAAGGUUGACCUCGGAUCAGGUAGGAAUACCCGCUGAACUUAA